GUAUUAAAUUUUUACAAGGCCUAAGCCCAAUAAUAACAUACUGAUGACAUUCCAAAGGGUUUAUAUAAAAACAUAGACAUGGGGGGAAUGAAAGGGAAGCCGACUCCAACAGAGCCAGCAGACCCUCAUAUCAUAUAUUCCCUCCUUCCCCCUCCCAGGGGAAACCCAAUGUCUACAGAGUGUGCACAGGUGAUUGAAGGCAAAGAGUUUGAAAGGUGUGCACAGUGCUCCAAAGAGCCAGCUACAACCCUCCAACUUGUUCAAUAAUGAUCCUUCCGCAGGUUCACCUACGGAAA
RNAcentral lists this unclassified non-coding RNA (296 nucleotides) under uncultured fungus. Its description in RNAcentral is "sequence contains ITS1". Lineage: Eukaryota; Fungi. The record is from RNAcentral.